UGCCAGCAGCCGCGGUAAUACGUAGGUGGCGAGCGUUAUUCGGAUUUAUUGGGCGUAAAGGGUCCGCAGGGGGAUUGUUAAGUUUGAUGUGAAAGCCCGCGGCUCAACCGCGGAAUUGCAUUGGAAACUGGCAAUCUAGAGCAUAGGAGAGGAGAGUGGAAUUCCUGGUGUAGCGGUGGAAUGCGUAGAUAUCAGGAGGAACACCGAAGGCGAAGGCAACUCUCUGGCCUAUUGCUGACCCUCAGGGACGAAAGCUAGGGGAGCGAACAGGAUUAGAUA
This 279-nucleotide ribosomal RNA is filed under the name uncultured bacterium. RNAcentral's name for it is "partial 16S ribosomal RNA". It matches the Rfam family "Bacterial small subunit ribosomal RNA", at positions 506 to 784 of the family's 1533-position model. The record is from RNAcentral.